RNAcentral lists this ribosomal RNA (1005 nucleotides) under uncultured bacterium. RNAcentral's name for it is "bacterial SSU rRNA". It matches the Rfam family "Bacterial small subunit ribosomal RNA", at positions 467 to 1482 of the family's 1533-position model. The record is from RNAcentral.
AAAUGACUGUACCCGAAUAAGAAGGUCCGGCUAACUUCGUGCCAGCAGCCGCGGUAAUACGAAGGGACCUAGCGUAGUUCGGAAUUACUGGGCUUAAAGAGUUCGUAGGUGGUUGAAAAAGUUAGUGGUGAAAUCCCAGAGCUUAACUCUGGAACUGCCAUUAAAACUUUUCAGGCUAGAGUAUGAUAGAGGAAAGCAGAAUUUCUAGUGUAGAGGUGAAAUUCGUAGAUAUUAGAAAGAAUACCAAUUGCGAAGGCAGCUUUCUGGAUCAUUACUGACACUGAGGAACGAAAGCAUGGGUAGCGAAGAGGAUUAGAUACCCUCGUAGUCCAUGCCGUAAACGAUGUGUGUUAGACGUUGGAAAUUUAUUUUCAGUGUCGCAGCGAAAGCGAUAAACACACCGCCUGGGGAGUACGACCGCAAGGUUAAAACUCAAAUGAAUUGACGGGGACCCGCACAAGUAGUGGAGCAUGUGGUUUAAUUCGAAGAUACGCGCAGAACCUUACCAACACUUGACAUGUUCGUCGCGACUCUAAGAGAUUAGAGUUUUCGGUUCGGCCGGACGAAACACAGGUGCUGCAUGGCUGUCGUCAGCUCGUGUCGUGAGAUGUUGGGUUAAGUCCCGCAACGAGCGCAACCCUCACUUUUAGUUGCCAUCAUUAAGUUGGGCACUCUGAAAGAACUGCCAGUGAUAAGCUGGAGGAAGGUGGGGAUGACGUCAAGUCCUCAUGGCCCUUACGUGUUGGGCUACACACGUGCUACAAUGGUAUCUACAACAGGAAGCAAGACUGCGAGGUCAAGCAAAUCCUUAAAAGAUACCUCAGUUCGGAUUGCACUCUGCAACUCGAGUGCAUGAAGCUGGAAUUACUAGUAAUCGUGGAUCAGCGUGCCACGGUGAAUGCGUUCCCGGGUCUUGUACACACCGCCCGUCACACCAUGGGAGUUGGUUCUACCUUAAGGCAAGGUUUCAAACCCUUGACCACGGUAUAGUCAGCGACUGGGGUG